This 373-nucleotide ribosomal RNA is filed under the name uncultured bacterium. RNAcentral describes it as "bacterial SSU rRNA". It matches the Rfam family "Bacterial small subunit ribosomal RNA", at positions 523 to 898 of the family's 1533-position model. The record is from RNAcentral.
ACACGUAGGGGGCAAGCGUUGUCCGGAAUUACUGGGCGUAAAGGGUGCGUAGGCGGCCAAAUAAGUCAGAUGUGAAAGUCCAGGGCUUAACCGUGGAAUCGCAUUUGAAACUGUAUGGCUUGAGUGCAGGAGAGGAGAGCAGAAUUCCUAGUGUAGUGGUGAAAUGCGUAGAUAUUAGGAAGAACACCAGUGGCGAAGGCGGCUCUCUGGACUGUAACUGACGCUGAGGCACGAAAGCGUGGGGAGCGAACAGGAUUAGAUACCCUGGUAGUCCACGCCGUAAACGAUGAGUGCUAGGUGUCGGGAGUCAAAUCUCGGUGCCGGAGUAAACACAAUAAGCACUCCGCCUGGGGAGUACGGUCGCAAGACUUAA